Molecule: ribosomal RNA, 465 nt
Filed under: uncultured bacterium
Lineage: Bacteria
Description: partial 16S ribosomal RNA
Rfam family: Bacterial small subunit ribosomal RNA
Source: RNAcentral
GACGAACGCUGGCGGCGUGCUUAACACAUGCAAGUCGAACGGAAAGGCCCCUUUGGGGGUACUCGAGUGGCGAACGGGUGAGUAACACGUGAGUAACCUGCCCUUGACUUCGGGAUAACUUCAGGAAACUGGGGCUAAUACCGGAUAGGAAUCCUUGCUGCAUGGUGGGGGUUGGAAAGCUUCGGCGGUUUCGGAUGGACUCGCGGCUUAUCAGCUUGUUGGUGGGGUAGUGGCUUACCAAGGCUUUGACGGGUAGCCGGCCUGAGAGGGCGACCGGCCACAUUGGGACUGAGAGACGGCCCAGACUCCUACGGGAGGCAGCAGUGGGGAAUAUUGCACAAUGGGCGGAAGCCUGAUGCAGCAACGCCGCGUGCGGGAUGACGGCCUUCGGGUUGUAAACCGCUUUCAGCAGGGGCGAAGCUUGUGGUGACGGUACCUGCAGAAGAAGCACCGGCUAACUACGUG